CCUUCUUCAGCCGUCUCCCCUCUCCCCGCCUCUUCCUCCUGAUUCGCGAUGCUGCGACCUCGAGGCGCCAUCAAGGCCAGAGCUGGAGUGUGAAUCCCUAGCGCCGCCUCCCACUCCCUCCCCUUGACCUCAUUCUCUUCUGGAUCCUCCACGGAAGCGGAGCCGCCGGUGGAGCGCCGCAGCUCCUCCUAUCCGCCCUCUUCUUCGCGCGCGCCCGCCAGCGCAUCUCACUCUAUCCCUGUCUCAUCUACGGCGGGUUCAACAGAUGGUCGAGCUCCAUCUCUCCGACCCUGGCCAAGCCCAAGCGACCCCCACAUAUCACCAAGGAGACCGGCAUCUUCGUCUGUCGCGCUGCUGCCGUCGCCGUCGUGUUCUCCGGCCCCGACACCGCUGGAAGGGCUCCUCAAUGCCAGCAACGCAGGUCAUCCUGCUAGGAGGGCUUGACUGUGGCAAGCGCAUCGACCUCGUCAGCGCGAUGCAGGUUGCUUCUGAAUUGCUUUGGAAUCAAUUGCAUCCGUAUGCUUCCACAUGAUUAAUGAUGUGCCCGCAGGAGAGGCUCAAAAAGUCGAUUUUCUGUUCAUGGUGGAAGGGCUGCUUGAAGCAGAUGCUAGAUAGUUGCAGUUUUCUAUGGAAAAUGGUUCCUACUAUAAAAAGAAAUUCUUGAGCGACAGGUUGCUACAGCAGGGCAAAGCUCAGGAUGUCUUCAAAGGCAAAUGAACAGGGCAAAGUUGUGACUUGCAUACCUCUGUUUCUAGAAGUGAGCCAGACCCAUCAUUUUUUUACUAAGUUGAGUUCUAUUUGUUACAUCGCUACACACAAUGCAUAAGGAAAAAUUAAUAGUUUUAGAAAUACAGCCACAAACACAUUGCUACAUGUCUAUCUGUAACAUCAGAGUGUACCAUUUUUAUUUACAUUUCCUUUUCUAAUUACCAUCUAAGAAUUGAAUCCAAGGAUACCAGUUGUUUCUAUAUUUCAUUUUGGAAUGAGUAAGUCAUGUGUGUUCUUCAUUUAUAGCUUAGUUAGUUUUAUAUUUUUAUGCACAAUUAAUAUAGCGAUUGCCAAAUCUUUUACCAAAGAUGGGGAACCAUAUGCCAAGUCGGGCUCCUGAUCAUAAACUUUU
Lolium rigidum is the source of this 1120-nucleotide long non-coding RNA. RefSeq lists it as uncharacterized. The record is from RefSeq and is a predicted model, not a curated record. The transcript has 4 exons. NCBI's taxonomy places the organism in Eukaryota, Viridiplantae, Streptophyta, Magnoliopsida, Poales, Poaceae.